AAACAAGUUUCCAGCAAGUUGGAUAGAUAAAUUGGUGCUACUCGGCUUUGGUGAAAUGACGGACGGUCAGCGCCAGUCCGAGAAUCAAAAUGGGAACGAGGAACUGCAGAAUUUUGAUGGUAAUGUCUGAAGUUUUAUUUGUAGGGUUAUAGGAAGUCUGUUGCGGCGCAAUGUAGGCCCGCUUUUUCGGGACUGUCGAGGCGUCUACCUCUCCUAUGUAGUAUUUGUCCA
Molecule: unclassified non-coding RNA, 231 nt
Filed under: Hevea brasiliensis (rubber tree)
Lineage: Eukaryota; Viridiplantae; Streptophyta; Magnoliopsida; Malpighiales; Euphorbiaceae
Source: RNAcentral